GCUUGCUUCUCUUGAGAGCGGCGGACGGGUGAGUAAUGCCUAGGAAUCUGCCUGGUAGUGGGGGAUAACGUCCGGAAACGGACGCUAAUACCGCAUACGUCCUACGGGAGAAAGCAGGGGACCUUCGGGCCUUGCGCUAUCAGAUGAGCCUAGGUCGGAUUAGCUAGUUGGUGGGGUAAUGGCUCACCAAGGCGACGAUCCGUAACUGGUCUGAGAGGAUGAUCAGUCACACUGGAACUGAGACACGGUCCAGACUCCUACGGGAGGCAGCAGUGGGGAAUAUUGGACAAUGGGCGAAAGCCUGAUCCAGCCAUGCCGCGUGUGUGAAGAAGGUCUUCGGAUUGUAAAGCACUUUAAGUUGGGAGGAAGGGCAGUAAAUUAAUACUUUGCUGUUUUGACGUUACCGACAGAAUAAGCACCGGCUAACUCUGUGCCAGCAGCCGCGGUAAUACAGAGGGUGCAAGCGUUAAUCGGAAUUACUGGGCGUAAAGCGCGCGUAGGUGGUUCGUUAAGUUGGAUGUGAAAUCCCCGGGCUCAACCUGGGAACUGCAUUCAAAACUGACGAGCUAGAGUAUGGUAGAGGGUGGUGGAAUUUC
Molecule: ribosomal RNA, 596 nt
Filed under: uncultured bacterium
Lineage: Bacteria
Description: bacterial SSU rRNA
Rfam family: Bacterial small subunit ribosomal RNA
Source: RNAcentral